AGCGAUAUGCGGAAUCUCAGUUGC
Molecule: non-coding RNA, 24 nt
Filed under: Arabidopsis thaliana (thale cress)
Lineage: Eukaryota; Viridiplantae; Streptophyta; Magnoliopsida; Brassicales; Brassicaceae
Source: RNAcentral